UGGGGAAUAUUGGACAAUGGGGGCAACCCUGAUCCAGCAAUUCUGUGUGCACGAUGAAGGUUUUCGGAUUGUAAAGUGCUUUCAGCAGGGAAGAAAAAAAUGACGGUACCUGCAGAAGAAGCGACGGCUAAAUACGUGCCAGCAGCCGCGGUAAUACGUAUGUCGCAAGCGUUAUCCGGAAUUAUUGGGCAUAAAGGGCAUCUAGGCGGCCAGAUAAGUCUGGGGUGAAAACUUGCGGCUCAACCGCAAGCCUGCCCUGGAAACUAUGUGGCUAGAGUACUGGAGAGGUGGACGGAACUGCACGAGUAGAGGUGAAAUUCGUAGAUAUGUGCAGGAAUGCCGAUGAUGAAGAUAGUUCACUGGACGGUAACUGACGCUGAAGUGCGAAAGCUAGGGGAGCAAACAGGAUUAGAUACCCUGGUAGUCCUAGCUGUAAACGAUGAUUACUGGGUGUGGGCAUGAAGAGUGUCCGUGCCGAAGCUAAUGCGAUAAGUAAUCCGCCUGGGGAGUACGGCCGCAAGGCUG
Molecule: ribosomal RNA, 525 nt
Filed under: uncultured bacterium
Lineage: Bacteria
Description: bacterial SSU rRNA
Rfam family: Bacterial small subunit ribosomal RNA
Source: RNAcentral